This 253-nucleotide ribosomal RNA is filed under the name uncultured bacterium. RNAcentral describes it as "partial 16S ribosomal RNA". It matches the Rfam family "Bacterial small subunit ribosomal RNA", at positions 524 to 776 of the family's 1533-position model. The record is from RNAcentral.
UACGGAGGGAGCUAGCGUUGUUCGGAAUUACUGGGCGUAAAGAGCACGUAGGCGGUUUGUCGCGUCAGAGGUGAAAUCCCAGGGCUUAACCCUGGAACUGCCUUUGAUACGGACAAGCUAGAAUCUCGGAGAGGUUAACGGAAUUCCAAGUGUAGAGGUGAAAUUCGUAGAUAUUUGGAAGAACACCAGUGGCGAAGGCGGUUAACUGGACGAGUAUUGACGCUGAGGUGCGAAAGUGUGGGGAGCGAACGGG